This is a long non-coding RNA of Equus asinus (donkey), 3171 nucleotides long. The record is from Ensembl. NCBI's taxonomy places the organism in Eukaryota, Metazoa, Chordata, Mammalia, Perissodactyla, Equidae.
AUGUGCUAAAAAAGUCUUUGAAAUGAGGCUUUCCUCUGCGGGGGAUAAAAAUGUUAAAAAGCUGAAUGUUCGGUCUGGGACAGGGGAGGAGAAGACAUCAUCGUUCCUUUUCCAAGGUGAAUUUCCUGGGGAUUUAUUUACUCCUUACUGGAAACUGAAAACCGUUAGGGAGAAGACGUAAGAUCAACGGGCAGUCAGAAAUUCAGAUCGCCACGGGUAAGGCUCUAGUGGGUUUCCCUUGGAGGAUUCUCCCCUUCAGGACAGAGCUACGGGGUGGCCACGUGCUCUGCCGCAUCCGCGUGGACAAGAGCGACAGUCGUGGGAAAGUCUCCUCUCGCCGCUGUGGCUGUGAGGAGCGGGCCCACCCUCUGCCUCCUGCUCACUGAGGGCCUGCUGGUUCCAAAGCGGUCACCGUCCCCACACCUUGAGGGGCCUUCGCUAGGAAUCGUCUCGAGCGGGGCGCGCGGAGAAAAGUCAUGGGACACCGGGUGACUCGCAACUCUCGCCUUUGCUGUGUCACAAGUGGACAUUCACGGGAAAGUGGGUCUCCCACCCCACCCUCUGCGUUUCCAGGAGACUCAGGCGUCGGGGUCUCUCGUAAAACCCGCGCCUUCUACAAGCGGACAGUUGGCCUUGUAAACUGCCGGAAUUUGCGCCUCUGAAAUUUUUGGCCACGUUUCUCUACAGCAAUAAAGCAGUAGAGCUGAUUCAAUGAAAUUAGCUCACGUGCUCGCAGGGAGCGCACCCAGAGCUGGUGAGCUGUACCAAAUGCAUCCAUUUCGGAGGUUCCUGGAAAUAUGAGGCCUCUGGCUUUAAGAGAAAAACAGAUUUACAUUCCUCCCCGACUCAGCAGGAAACCUUAAAUCAAAGGCAACCCACAAAUCAGUGCGUGCUUAUCUGCUGCGCGCUAGGCCCGGUUUGUAAUUACACGUUUAUUUGUGUACGAUCGACGCCAGGCUGCUCGUCAGACUGCAAGGCCCCCGAGCACAUUUGUCUUGAUUAUCCUCGAACCCCAGGGCCCGGCAGUGCCUGGCACACAGGCACGCUAAAUAUGUGUGCAAAGAAGGAAGGGAAGGAGGGAAGGAAGAGAGGAGGGAAAGGAGGGAGAGAGAGAAUAAAGGGAGGAGCAACGAAGGUUGGAGCGAGUGAGAAAUGCUACAAGUGGAAGAUACUUACAAGGGUCCCGUCCAGCAGAAUAGGGUUUACUUGUAAUCCUUCCCAUGUGUAAAACGGAGACAACAGCACUCAUUGCAAUUUUUAUUUUAUACUCAAAUCGCUCUCUUUUAAGUUAUGUGAUGUGUCAGACAAGAGGUCCCUGCCCUGGGCCCCGUGCUUCAGAGCGUCCCGACCUUGCUGCCCCCUUGGAGUCUGUGUGGACCCCUCUCCAGAUAGUCCACUGGGUCUUCCACAUGAGGGUUGUGCACCUAGCCCAGCGUGUCCAAGGAUGUGAGGGCAGGAAGCAGGGCCUGGAGGGAGCGGAGGCGUCUACACACGUGUCCUGGGUGUGGGACUGAGGCUGGAGGGGGACAGAAGGGGUGGAGGCAGGGUCACGUCCAAGGUUGCUCCUCCCAUGUGACCGGGGUCCAGGGCGGAACCCCAAGGCGGCGAGAACUCUAAAUUCUCACCUGCUGUCCGGUCAUCGCCAAGGGCUGUUUGUCUAGGGAUCCAGCGCCCGUCUGAUGCCAGGAUACAGUUUUAAUUUUCACAACCUCACAGCACAGUUUAACCCAACAGAGAGCAAGGGCUGCUUCCCCUCUGGUUCGUAGUCGUCGGUCACACGGCACCACCUCGGGAUUCUGCCAGCGUCGUCACCUGCCAUUCCUCGCACGGGCCGGGAGGCAGAGGCUACAGGCGCCCGUUUUACAGACGAGGAAACUGAGCACAGGGAGAGAAGCCUGGCUCUCCAGGCCACAGAGACAAGGCCGAGCCGGGAGCUCCAAACCCAGGCAGCCCAGCCCCAGAGGCCACGACCUUGACCUCUGCAAGGUGAAAUCCCAGCUGAGAAUCAACCUCUUUUCAAAGACUAUAUUCUCCUCAUAUCUGUUGUCACCAACUUGUUGGUACUUGUUUUAUUUACUUGGUUGUUUUAUGCUUGUGUUUAUUUUUAUUAUACUUUCCAUUUAUAAUGCUCCUUAAAAUUUUCCAGCUAGACAUUGUAUUUCCUUUCUCUUUUCUGAGACGUGGAAUUUACAUCUCGGCCUCUAUUCUAAAUCGAUAGCGUUACCAGCAGCUGCGCCCACUCAAAAGCAUUCUUUCACUCGAAUUUCUCUGCUUGUCAGGGUCAGUGAAUCUGCGUUCAUUGGCUGCAUUCACAUUUUACUACAGUGAUAACUGUAGAAUUUUAAUAAAUAAAAUUGUAGAAGAUCUAUUUCAUUAACAUAACAAAAUGAUUCUAUUAUUAGCUAAAAACCAACAGCAUUGUUGGCACAAUUUUUAUUGUUUCAACUGAAAUGCCCGGGAAAGAAAUAAUUUUGUCACGAGGAUAAACUGGCUACUCGUUCAGUUAUUUGUGAGAACAUGACAGCUGUGUCUCAUUAAUCAGCAUUUAGAUUUUUGGGGUAAUGUUUAAUGUACACACAAAAUUCUUUAGGUUAUGAAAGUAUUUCUUAUUUUUUUUUAAGUUAUGAGAGCAGAGAAGGUGUGGUCACAUAAAGUAUUGAAAAAGACUACAGAGUUUUUAAUACUUUUUCCAUUCUACAUUCUAUCACUUUAUGAGAUGACUGACAAGAAAACAGGAAACCCCACACCCCUCUAGGCUGUCUCCAUCCUGCCGGCAAGAAUCAAGGGCCCACAUGUGUCAUCCGCCUCAGUUAAGGCUCAUAUUUCUAUUUUACUGAUGAGAAAACCGAAGCUCAGAGACUGGGUGACUGGUGAAUGUCACAGACCAGCUGUAGAAAACUCACUGUCAGCACUGGCGAAUUCACCUGCCGGCCGGCCCGUGCACGCGCCUGUCACAGACGUCUCCCCAUCGAGUGGCCUCAUGAGCAUCGCUGUGAGAUGCCACCCCACCUGCAGGCAGCUCAGAGCUUAAGGAAGUUCUUACCCUGGGCCUGUGUCUGCCUUCCAGGAGCAUCUGUCCUUGUUCUGCCCCAUGGAGUUUCACGGAACAAGUGUUCCAUUGAGAAGUUGUGCAAAUAUCGGAAAACUAUCAAUUCCUUCCAUUUCUCAUUG